CCAGACUCCUACGGGAGGCAGCAGUAGGGAAUAUUGCUCAAUGGGGGAAACCCUGAAGCAGCAACGCCGCGUGGAGGAUGAAGGUUUUAGGAUUGUAAACUCCUUUUGUUAGAGAAGAUUAUGACGGUAUCUAACGAAUAAGCACCGGCUAACUCCGUGCCAGCAGCCGCGGUAAUACGGAGGAUGCGAGCGUUAUCCGGAUUUAUUGGGUUUAAAGGGUGCGUAGGCGGAAUGCCAAGUCAGCGGUAAAAUCGCGGGGCUCAACCUCGCCCCGCCGUUGAAACUGGCGUUCUUGAGUGGGCGAGAAGUACGCGGAAUGCGUGGUGUAGCGGUGAAAUGCAUAGAUAUCACGCAGAACUCCGAUCGCGAAGGCAGCCUACCGGCGCGCAACUGACGCUCAUGCACGAAAGCGUGGGUAUCGAACAGGAUUAGAUACCCUCGUACAA
RNAcentral lists this ribosomal RNA (446 nucleotides) under uncultured bacterium. Its description in RNAcentral is "bacterial SSU rRNA". It matches the Rfam family "Bacterial small subunit ribosomal RNA", at positions 331 to 795 of the family's 1533-position model. The record is from RNAcentral.